Molecule: ribosomal RNA, 253 nt
Filed under: uncultured bacterium
Lineage: Bacteria
Description: partial 16S ribosomal RNA
Rfam family: Bacterial small subunit ribosomal RNA
Source: RNAcentral
UACAGAGGCCUCAAGCGUUGUUCGGAAUUACUGGGCGUAAAGGGAAUGUAGGUGGUUAGGUAAGUUAGAUGUGAAGGCCCUGGGCUUAACCCGGGAAGUGCAUUUAAUACUGCUUAGCUUGAGUGCGGAAGAGGAAAGCGGAAUUCCAGGUGUAGGGGUGAAAUCCGUAGAUAUCUGGAGGAAUACCGAUGGCGAAGGCAGCUUUCUGGUCCGUAACUGACACUGAGAUUCGAAAGCGUGGGUAGCAAACAGG